This 2889-nucleotide ribosomal RNA is filed under the name Clostridioides difficile. RNAcentral's name for it is "bacterial LSU rRNA". It matches the Rfam family "Bacterial large subunit ribosomal RNA". The record is from RNAcentral. Lineage: Bacteria; Bacillati; Bacillota; Clostridia; Peptostreptococcales; Peptostreptococcaceae.
UCAAGUUAUUAAGGGUGCAGGGCGGAUGCCUUGGCACUAGGAGCCGAUGAAGGACGUGAUAAGCUGCGAUAAGCUUCGGGGAGUUGCACGUAAACUUUGAUCCGAAGAUUUCCGAAUGAGGAAACUCACUUAGAGUAAUGUCUAAGUAUCAUUAAGUGAAUACAUAGCUUAAUGAGGGGAACUCAGGGAACUGAAACAUCUAAGUACCUGAAGGAAGAGAAAGAAAUUCGAUUCCGUAAGUAGCGGCGAGCGAACGCGGAUUAGCCCAAACCAAUAAAGUUUUCUUUAUUGGGGUUGCGGACAUAUCAUAACGAAGAGGUAUCGUAAUUGAAGAGGUUUGGAAAGACCCACCACAGAAGGUAAUAGUCCUGUAUGUUAAACGAGAAGACUUCAGAUAUGAUCCAGAGUACCACGGGACACGUGAAACCCUGUGGGAAGCAGGAGGGACCACCCUCCAAGGCUAAAUACUACCUAGUGACCGAUAGCGUAUAGUACCGUGAGGGAAAGGUGAAAAGAACCCCGGGAGGGGAGUGAAAUAGAACCUGAAACCCUGCACUUACAAGCUGUGGAAGCACAUUUCUUGUGUGACCGCGUACUUUUUGUAGAACGGGCCAACGAGUUACGUUAAGUAGCAAGGUUAAGCACUUAAGGUGUGGAGCCGUAGCGAAAGCGAGUUUUAACUGAGCGUUCAGUUACUUGACGUAGACCCGAAACCGGGCGACCUACCCAUGAGCAGGAUGAAGCGAAAGUAAAAUUUCGUGGAGGUCCGAACCCACGAGCGUUGAAAAGCUCGGGGAUGACUUGUGGGUAGCGGUGAAAUUCCAAUCGAGCCCGGAGAUAGCUGGUUCUCCCCGAAAUAGCUUUAGGGCUAGCCUCAAGGUGAGAGAUACGGAGGUAGAGCACUGAAUGUCCUAGGGGGUAUUGCACCUACCGAAGACUAUCAAACUCCGAAUGCCGUCAUCUUAUACUUGGGAGUCAGACUGUGGGUGAUAAGAUUCAUAGUCGAAAGGGCAACAGCCCAGAUCGUCAGCUAAGGUCCCUAAAUGUAAGUUAAGUGGUAAAGGAUGUGGGAUUGCACAGACAACCAGGAUGUUGGCUUAGAAGCAGCCACUCAUUCAAAGAGUGCGUAAUAGCUCACUGGUCGAGUGAUCCUGCGCCGAAGAUUUCCGGGGCUAAAACUUACUACCGAAGCUACGGCAUCAGUAAUGAUGGGUAGGGGAGCUUCCCAUACGGGUUGAAGCAUGACCGUAAGGACAUGUGGACAGUAUGGGAGUGAGAAUGUUGGCAUGAGUAGCGAGAUGUGGGUGAGAAUCCCACAGGCCGUAAACCCAAGGUUUCCAGGGGAAGGUUCGUCCGCCCUGGGUUAGUCGGGACCUAAGCUGAGGCCGAAAGGCGUAGGUGAUGGACAACAGGUUGAUAUUCCUGUACUACCGAUAACCGUUUGAGAGAAGGGAUGACACAGUAGGAUAAGCUAAGCACACUGUUGGUUAUGUGUGCCCAAGCAUUGAGGCAGUCAAAGUAGGCAAAUCCGCUUUGAUAAUGCUGGGAUGUGAUGGGGAGCGAAAUUUAGUAGCGAAGUAGCUGAUUUCACACUGUCAAGAAAAGUCUCUAUCGAGGUUAAAGGUACCCGUACCGCAAACCGACACAGGUGGGUGAGGAGAGUAUCCUAAGGCCAGCGAGAGAACUGUUGUUAAGGAACUCGGCAAAAUGACCCCGUAACUUAGGGAUAAGGGGUGCCACCAUCAGGUGGCCGCAGAGAAUAGGCCCAAGCGACUGUUUACCAAAAACAUAGGUUUCUGCUAAGUCGCAAGACGAUGUAUAGGAGCUGACGCCUGCCCGGUGCUGGAAGGUUAAGGGGAUCUGUUAGAGCAAUCGAAGCAGUGAACUUAAGCCCCAGUAAACGGCGGCCGUAACUAUAACGGUCCUAAGGUAGCGAAAUUCCUUGUCGGGUAAGUUCCGACCCGCACGAAAGGCGUAACGAUUUGGGCACUGUCUCAACAACAGACUCGGUGAAAUUGUAAUUCCGGUGAAGAUGCCGGAUACCUGCGACAGGACGGAAAGACCCCAUGGAGCUUUACUGUAGCUUGACAUUGGGUUUUGGUACUACAUGUACAGGAUAGGUGGGAGGCUUUGAAACCAGGACGCCAGUUUUGGCGGAGCCAUCCUUGGGAUACCACCCUUGUAGUACUGGGACUCUAACCAUAGGCCAUGAAUCUGGUCUUGGGACACUGUCAGGUGGGCAGUUUGACUGGGGCGGUCGCCUCCCAAAAGGUAACGGAGGCGCUCAAAGGUUCUCUCAGUACGGUCGGAAAUCGUACGUAGAGUGUAAAGGCAAAAGAGAGCUUGAUUGCAAGACAUACAGGUCGAGCAAGGAUGAAAAUCGGACUUAGUGAUCCGGUGGUUCUGCGUGGAAGGGCCAUCGCUCAACGGAUAAAAGCUACCCUGGGGAUAACAGGCUUAUAUCUCCCCCAAGAGUCCACAUCGACGGGGAGGUUUGGCACCUCGAUGUCGGGUCGGGGGGUGUAGUAGGUCCCAAGGGUUGGGCUGUUCGCCCAUUAAAGUGGUACGCGAGCUGGGUUCAGAACGUCGUGAGACAGUUCGGUCCCUAUCCGUCGCAGGCGUAGGAAAUUUGAGAAGACCUGUCCUUAGUACGAGAGGACCGGGAUGGACGUACCUCUGGUGUACCAGUUGUUCUGCCAAGGGCAUGGCUGGGUAGCUAUGUACGGAAUGGAUAAGCGCUGAAAGCAUCUAAGCGCGAAGCCAACUUCAAGAUAAGAUUUCCCACCGCAAGGGUAAGACCCCAGAAAGACUAUCUGGUUGAUAGGUCGAAGGUGUAAGUGCAGCAAUGUAUUUAGCUUAUCGAUACUAAUAGGUCGAGGACUUGACCAA